CUUAUUUGAUUCAUUGUUUUUAUACAUAAAAAUCUUUCUCGGUGUGUAUUUGGGACUUUGGGGUGAUUGGGGAGUCCAAUGACCCAUUUAUUGUGUCUGACUUUCUAAUAAAUUGUAUAAUUUUAUUAAUAUCCUCCAGAAGAAGCUGGUGAUGCAGGCUGAGCCUGGAGUUAGGGGAGAUCCCAGUUCAAAUCCAAUCUCAGAUACUUCCUAAUUCUAUGAUCCUGGGCAAAUCCCUAUUGGCUCAAUUUCUUCAGCUGUGAAAUGGGGAUAAUAGAACCUUACACGCAUAUACAGAGAUGCGCUCUUGUUUCCUCUCAGGCUUUGAAAUGUAAGUUCUUUGCACACAUACUAAUACUUUUACAUGUCACACAAAUGUAUAUUAACUAAAUUUUUUCCUGGUGGUACAGGCUGUGAAAAUGCACUAUUUUCAACCGUUAGCUAGACAAGAAUGAAAAUUUAAUCACCGCAAAUCAAUCGACGUGGCAGCUCUUUGAGCUUGGCACUGGGUUCAGUACAACCUGAAGUCAGCCUCGCCCUGCCCCCACCCUCAAUCCUCGCAGGCCCUGUCACCGAGCCUUGCCUACUUACGCCUGAAAAACUACAAUUCCCAAGCAGGAACGAGCGACCUGCUCGUGAGUCCCCCGCCCCAGAACUACCUCACGCAGCAGAGGGCCAAGAGGCGGGAUUGUCGAUCUACGCUAGCGUCUCGCAAGUCCCUUCUCGUUCUGCGCAUGCGUUUUUCGAGUCACUUCCUCCUCCCUCCCUCUGUUAUCCGGUUUGACCUACUGUGGCCAGAGGAAAAAAAGAUGGCGGUGGCCGCUACCUCUGGGGCAGUCCAGCAGGUAAGAUACGCCGAUUCACCACUUCAGUGGCCAGACCAUUUGCCAAACUUGUCAGGGUAUGUUUGUUUAAUUCCUCAGCUAUACUUGACUCUAAUCAAAAGUUUGUAACUGUUAACUGGACUGCAGUAUAAUACACUGAGUUAUAUUGAUUGGAUUUUGUCUAUAACCUUCUAUAUUAUAUUUGACACUUCAUAGACUGUAAUGUUCUUGAAGAAAAAAGUCACCCUGCUAGACAACUGCAAUUCAUAGGUAGAACCUAAUGGUUUUUCAACAAGUGUAUAGCAUUUUUCAAAUGUCUGAUUUUCAGUAUUUAUCUAUCAAAACAUCUGGGGUUUUGCAUGUUUAGUUUUAAAGUUUUUUACCACUCUGUCUUUUCCAUACACAAAUCCUGUUUACUCUCCAUAUUUUAAUUUUGCAAAUUCCCUAUUGAAUUUUUAAAGAAUUUGCCAAUCUUUGCCAUUGUUUAAUCUUUUUUAAAAUAUUAAGAGAAUUAUAGAUUCUGAGUUGGAAGGGACCUCAGAGUUUAUCUGGUUCAACUCAUACCUAAAAUGAAUUCCCUCUGCAACAUUCUCCAUUAAGUGAUCAUCCAUCCUUUGAGGGGAGAGCUCCCACUACCUCCUGAGAAGCCAAUUCCACUUUUCCAUAAUUAUAAUUACUACAAUGUAUUUCUGUAGAUGUAAAUAUAUAUUCCUUCUAAUUUCUCCUCAUUCCACCUACUUCUAUAUUUUGGGGCAAAACAGAUGAAGUAUAUUCCCUCUUCCCUGUGUCAGCUUUUCAAAUCAUCUUUAUUGCCCAGAAACUCUCAGUAAUGUGUAAUCUUAGAGAGUUCUUUAGGACACUGAGAGAUAAACUGAUUUGUCUAGGAUCAUACAGCCAAUGUGUGUCAGAGUCCACACCUGAAUCUUCUUGACUUUUAGUUUGAUUCUUCUUUCUAGGCCAGACGUCUCUAGUUCCUCCAACUGGUUCUCAAAGGAUAUUAUGGUUUAUCAUGAACAUCUAAUUUGAAUACCAUGCUUAAUAAGUGACCAGAAGAUAAAUAGGACAUAGAGUUAGGAUCAUUAUAUGAAAGGGGAGACUUUACAGGGCAGUGUCAUAAACUUGUUACAAAUAAUACUAUAAAAUAAAUCUAUCUGUAAAAAUAUUCA
Monodelphis domestica (gray short-tailed opossum) is the source of this 1990-nucleotide long non-coding RNA. Lineage: Eukaryota; Metazoa; Chordata; Mammalia; Didelphimorphia; Didelphidae. The record is from Ensembl.